AGUUAAGGUCGAUUUGGGACAGGUGUUUGUAAUUUUCGUUAGUACCGGCUAUCUAGUGGGAAAUCUUGUAAACGAGUCGUACUGGAUGCCGAUUUAAAUGCGAUUUUCUGGAAUUAUUUCAAUUAUCGCUAGUCGGGAACGAACCACACGGCCACAGAUUCUUAUAAAUAAAAGAGAUAAAAAUGGCAGAAUUAAUUUCUCUCGGUCGAUCCUAAAUGUCGACAACGCUUUUCCUAUAAGAAUCUCCAUUAUAAUAAGUGUUGGUUCCGCCAUCCGAUUCAUUGUUCCGGCCACGUUUACUCGGCUUUGGCCGAGUCCAGUUGUCAGUUUGGCUAAAGUACUUUAAGGGACGUUCCUUUAACUCUUAACGUUCUCGGACG
Molecule: long non-coding RNA, 380 nt
Filed under: Androctonus crassicauda
Lineage: Eukaryota; Metazoa; Arthropoda; Arachnida; Scorpiones; Buthidae
Source: RNAcentral